Long non-coding RNA from Falco peregrinus (peregrine falcon), 331 nucleotides. RefSeq lists it as uncharacterized. NCBI's taxonomy places the organism in Eukaryota, Metazoa, Chordata, Aves, Falconiformes, Falconidae. The transcript is spliced from 4 exons. The record is from RefSeq and is a predicted model, not a curated record.
ACCAGACCCUUGGAUACAUACUCUAAUCUCUGGCCUUUAUUUUUACAAUGAAUUUGAUUUGUUCAGUGAUCGAAUAUUUUUUCUGAUUUGUGAGAAGCUUCAUGCUCUGUGUUUGGAUGCUGACUGCAAUACAGCAAUAGUCUUUGAAACGAGUCACAGUGUACACUCUGUGGGGAGCCUGAAGAUUUGGAUUCUCUAACAGGGCAUGCAUUUCCAGAGCUGCAAGUGUUAUGGGCAUGUUGAGAACUUCCAGAAGCUGGAUUAAAGCAUCUCUUUUACAAUGAUAUCUAAUCUCGUCCUAAAGCUCCAAGCAAUGGCGAGUCCACCAGCU